CCAAUAGCGUAUAUUAAAGUUGUUGCAGUUAAAAAGCUCGUAGUUGAAUUUCGGGAUUGACGUGAUGGUCAUGCCUUAAGGGGUAUGAACUGUUGCAGUUGAUUUCUCACCUUCUGGAGAAACUUGAUGUCCUUUAUUGGGUGUCUUGCGGAUCCAGGACCUUUACCUUGAAAAAAUUAGAGUGUUUAAAGCAGGCAUUUUUGCUCGAAUACAUUAGCAUGGAAUAAUAGAAUAGGACGGCAUGGUUCUAUUUUGUUGGUUUCUAGGAUCACCGUAAUGAUUAAUAGGGAUAGUUGGGGGCAUUAGUAUUCAAUUGUCAGAGGUGAAAUUCUUGGAUUUAUUGAAGACUAACUACUGCGAAAGCAUUUGCCAAGGAUGUUUUCAUUAAUCAAGAACGAAAGUUAGGGGAUCGAAGACGAUCAGAUACCGUCGUAGUCUUAACCAUAAACUAUGCCGACUAGGAAUCAGACGAUGUUAAUUUUUUAAUGACUCGUUUGGCACCUUACGGGAAACCAAAGUGUUUGGGUC
This 528-nucleotide unclassified non-coding RNA is filed under the name uncultured Glomeromycotina. Its description in RNAcentral is "SSU rRNA". It matches the Rfam family "Eukaryotic small subunit ribosomal RNA", at positions 591 to 1113 of the family's 1831-position model. Lineage: Eukaryota; Fungi; Glomeromycota. The record is from RNAcentral.